This 274-nucleotide ribosomal RNA is filed under the name uncultured bacterium. Its description in RNAcentral is "partial 16S ribosomal RNA". It matches the Rfam family "Bacterial small subunit ribosomal RNA", at positions 524 to 796 of the family's 1533-position model. The record is from RNAcentral.
GACGGAGGGUGCUAGCGUUGUUCGGAAUCACUGGGCGUAAAGGGCGCGUAGGCGGCCCUGGCAGUCGGCUCGUGAAAGCCCGGGGCUCAACCCCGGAGGUGCGGCCGAAACACCAGGGCUGGAGGCCGGAAGAGGAGGGUGGAAUACCCAGUGUAGAGGUGAAAUUCGUAGAUAUUGGGUGGAACACCGGUGGCGAAAGCGGCUCUCUGGUCCGGACCUGACGCUGAGGCGCGAAAGCGUGGGGAGCAAACAGGAUUAGAUACCCUCGUAGUCC